UACAGAGGUCCCAAGCGUUGUUCGGAUUUACUGGGCGUAAAGCGCGUGUAGGCGGCCCUGCAAGUCGGAUGUGAAAUCCCACGGCUCAACCGUGGAAGUGCAUUCGAAACUGCAGGGCUAGAGUCCUGGAGAGGAAGGUGGAAUGCUUGGUGUAGAGGUGAAAUUCGUAGAUAUCAAGCGGAACACCGGUGGCGAAGGCGGCCUUCUGGACAGUGACUGACGCUGAGACGCGAAAGCGUGGGGAGCAAACAGG
RNAcentral lists this ribosomal RNA (253 nucleotides) under uncultured bacterium. RNAcentral describes it as "partial 16S ribosomal RNA". It matches the Rfam family "Bacterial small subunit ribosomal RNA", at positions 524 to 776 of the family's 1533-position model. The record is from RNAcentral.